CUUGAUGGCAGUUUGCAAGUGGAUUAAUUGCAGGAACAUAUGUAGAGGCCCGAAGAGGUUUCACAGAUGGGCCUUCCUAUCGCCGCUGCCGCGGCGGGUCUCCUUUCCCCUGCAUUUACUGCUGCCUAUGUAGAACGAAGAGUUGCAGGGUUUGCGAGGACGGUGCGAUCGUCUAAAUCUAUUCUUGGUCAGUGCUGUCAUAAAAGCUGCCGGCCGCUUCAUACCGUCGUCCUCGACAGCGGGAAAGAAUUGCAACAGUCAAACGGAUGUGAAGAAGCCGACGUUCUAGAACGUCUCUCGAAUGAGUUCAUUCAGAUUAAGCUAUUGCCGACAGCGAACAGGAUGACAACGAAAAGCUUCUACACUGAGGUUGAUGGUACCAAAAUUCCUAUUGGCUUCAACGUUGAGAACCUUCGUUCCGCCAAGAAGUAUAAACCGCUGGAUUCAGACAUAUUCAUAUGUACAUUUCCCAAAUGCGGCACCAACUGGACAAAGCGCAUUGUUCAAUUGCUGAUAGAUCGCGAGAGUCGUACCGGAGAGGUAGCAGAUUACGGACUCAGCAAAUGCUUUUUGGAAAUGGCCGGGGCUUCGGUGAUUUCCAGUCAGCCCGAACCACGUAUCGUUACCUCGCACCUCUAUUUUAAGGAAAUUCCAUGGAAUCCUAACACCAAAUAUAUCUACGUUCUUCGGAACCCUAAGGACUGUUGCGUAUCAUACUUCCAUCACACAAAGCGAACGAAGGUUUACGAUUACGAAAAUGGAACGCUCACCGAUUACGUCACAACCUUUCUUAAUGGCGAAACCAGCUUCGGCUCCUAUUUUGAGCAUUUUCGCCAAUGGUAUGCUCAAAAGGACAGGCCUAACGUAUUGUUUUUGACCUAUGAAAACAUGAAACAGGACCCAGUCAAAGAGAUCCAGAAAAUUAUCGCAUUUUUGGGAUUGCCAUGUCCCGAGCUAAGGGACCCAUCUUCUGCUAAGUUUCAGCACGUUCUUAAGGAGAGUGGCAUCGACGCUAUGAAGGACUAUGUUGAAGAGAACUACAGAACUGCUUUUGCCGGAGCUAGUGAGACUGGAUGGAAAGCACGUUCAGAUUACCCAUGCGAUCGCGCGCCCCCUCCGCCAGAUUGCUUUGUAAGAAAAGGAAUCGUAGGCGACUGGAAAAACGAAUUUUCCUUUGCAGAUUCGAAGGCGAUAGAGGGGCAAAUGCUCCGAGCUUGCGAAGGAUUCGCCAGUGUUCAAGACAUUUGGGACGAUAAAGUCUGGAGAGACUGCUGACAAACUUCAGCAACACACAGAAGCCGUGAUCGACGAACCAGAAGCUGCCCGCAUAUCCGCAUUGCCAAACAGAUAACAUGGGUUUCUGUAAGCAUACAUUUUCCUUGUGCGUCGCCGAUUCAGUUGCAUCUAAUGACUGAUCAGACGGUCCGUGAUUACUGUAAAUGAUUCAGGGUUCAUGACGAGUCACAGUUCGACGCAAGAAUGGGCCACCCGAGCAUAUCUACAUUUCCAUUUUGGUCCUGGCCAUAUCACAGGUUUGAGUCCCGGGCGACGCCGUUUCUUUGUACGUUACGUCAUUACGAACUCAACUCACAGCAGACAACUCGCCUAAAGAGUUAAGCCGUUGACGGCGGUAAUGCCUGGCUCGUGGUAUAAGAGAGGGUCGAGAGGGAGAGUUCGAAACAAACUAGGCCCUUAUAGCCACACUGCCAUCUAACGGUGGAAUAUUCGCCAACGAAAACCUGCUUCCCAUAGUGCGGGCGUGUUGAUACGGUCUAAAACGUGCAAAAGAAUCCGUUUUCAAAGCAUAUUUGUUUAUUUAUUGGUUUACUGGUUAACACACUCAACUACCUUGUCUUCGUACUCAAAUAAUUCAUAUUAUAAAUAGGAGGUAAAAUUUUACUAAACGGGCAGCCUCUGUUCUAUCUACUUUUGAAAGUGAAGGAACUUCAUCCCUACGGGUAUUAUUAGCUUUGUAUCGCCAUCCAGUAUCUAGCUGGAAUCGAAAAUGAGGUAAAUAGACCACUUCAAGAGUCCUAUGGCCUAA
Varroa destructor (honeybee mite) is the source of this 2044-nucleotide RNA transcript. It is a transcript of the gene named sulfotransferase 1C2-like, with no coding region annotated. The record is from RefSeq and is a predicted model, not a curated record. Lineage: Eukaryota; Metazoa; Arthropoda; Arachnida; Mesostigmata; Varroidae.